UAAACGACUCUCGGCAACGGAUAUCUCGGCUCACGCAUCGAUGAAGAACGUAGCAAAAUGCGAUACUUGGUGUGAAUUGCAGAAUCCCGUGAACCAUCGAGUUUUUGAACGCAAGUUGCGCCCAAAGCCAUUCGGCCGAGGGCACGCCUGCCUGGGCGUCACGC
Molecule: ribosomal RNA, 164 nt
Filed under: Trichocline catharinensis var. discolor
Lineage: Eukaryota; Viridiplantae; Streptophyta; Magnoliopsida; Asterales; Asteraceae
Also listed under: 2 other names
Description: 5.8S ribosomal RNA
Rfam family: 5.8S ribosomal RNA
About the family: 5.8S ribosomal RNA (5.8S rRNA) is a component of the large subunit of the eukaryotic ribosome. It is transcribed by RNA polymerase I as part of the 45S precursor that also contains 18S and 28S rRNA.
Source: RNAcentral